UCUCCGUAGGUGAACCUGCGGAGGGAUCAUUACAGAGUUCAUGCCCUACCGGGUAGAUCUCCCACCCUAUGUUAUUAUUACUUUGUUGCUUUUGCGGGCCGUUAGGCUCCGGCCCGACUACCGGCCCCGGCUGGUAAGCGCCCGCCAGAGGACCCAAAACCCUGAAUAUUAGUGUCGUCUGAGUACUAUAUAAUAGUUAAAACUUUCAACAACGGGUCUCUUGGUUCUG
Molecule: unclassified non-coding RNA, 229 nt
Filed under: plant metagenome
Description: partial contains small subunit ribosomal RNA, internal transcribed spacer 1, and 5.8S ribosomal RNA
Source: RNAcentral